Molecule: ribosomal RNA, 254 nt
Filed under: uncultured bacterium
Lineage: Bacteria
Description: partial 16S ribosomal RNA
Rfam family: Bacterial small subunit ribosomal RNA
Source: RNAcentral
UACGUAGGCAGCGAGCGUUGUUCGGAGUUACUGGGCGUAAAGGGUGUGUAGGCGGUUGUUUAAGUUUGGUGUGAAAUCUCCCGGCUCAACCGGGAGGGUGCGCCGAAUACUGAAUGACUUCGAGUGCGGGAGAGGAGAGUGGAAUUCCUGGUGUAGCAGUGAAAUGCGUAGAUAUCAGGAGGAACACCGAUGGCGAAGGCAGGUCUCUGGGCUGACACUGACGCUCAUGCACGAAAGCGUGGGGAGCAAACAGG